Molecule: long non-coding RNA, 2866 nt
Filed under: Papio anubis (olive baboon)
Lineage: Eukaryota; Metazoa; Chordata; Mammalia; Primates; Cercopithecidae
Description: lncRNA (ENSPANG00000049717.1)
Source: RNAcentral
UUUUGGAGUUCUUAGAUGAUUUGUAAGUCUGGAUAAGCUAAGACAGACCACAAAGUAGUCCACUUUUGAGGACUGGUAAGAUUACUUAGACUCAUCCAAGGCAUCUUUCAAUAAAUUUAUAAAUAAGCAUUGUAAAUUGUCCAAAUAUUUUCAAAUGAAACAAAUGAGUGUGAAGAUACUUGACAGAUGCCCCAGCCUAGUGCCUUCCUUCUGUCUUUUGUAGAUACUCUAAAAGUUUGGUCUUAGCCAUGGUUGCAGAUUCACGAAUAGUUUGAAAGAAGUUGCUCCUUGAUAAAUAGCAGGUGAGAAUAGGGGCACAAUGGUAGCCCAGAUUGCCUGGAUCUAAUGCGCAAAUUCUAAGUUUUUUCUGUUGUGCAGAUAUAUGUUCUAGUUAUGUAAUGCUUACAAACUCACUACUUUUAUAUUUUGUUUGGGAUUUCGUCUUUCCAGGACUGGCUAUGGUCGACCACAGCAGGAUGCUCUGAGGUUAAUUAUAGGCCUCUGCUUAGGAGAAAGUCUCUGAGGAUAAACAAACCAAAGACAUGUGGCCUAUUUUGAGGUUUCCUGGGGCCUGAUGACUCACAGGAGUACAAGACACACAUUUUGUCUUUCUGUUCUCUCAGCCAUGAUUCUAGAUUCUUGGAUUGCAACUGUAAAACAAGAGAAAGAAAAAAAAGAAAUAAGAAGAGAAAGAGGAAGGGGAAGCAGGAGGAGGAAGAAGAAGACAAAGAAGGAAGAGAAGAAGACAAAGAAGACAAUAACAUUGCUGUGCUCAUCAGGCUUACAAUUUACUGUCAUAGACUAAAAUUUCCAAAAGGUGGAAACAAACAUGUUAGUUACCAUUCUAGUUACUUUAUUUAUCUACUUUUGAUAAUGACGAUGAUAACAUUUAGAUGAUGAUGGGAAUGAAAAAAAGAUCUGAUUUCAUGCUCACUUAUGAGUUCUAUCUUUCAAUAUUUUUUUAAAAUAGUGUCCUAGUUUAUAGAAGUCUGUGAGUAGAUUCAGUUGAGGGAAGAAAUCCAAAAUAGACUGGAUGCUAAAGUACCAAGUAAAGAUGGCAAAUUACAGAAAUAAUGGGACCUCAUACUGGUGAUUCUCAAACUUUGCUGCAUUUUCAAAUCACCUGGGGAGCUUUGUAAGAAUCCUGUCUCUCAUCUUAUAUCCCAUACCAAAUAAAUAAGACAAUCUGAGGUGAAACAUAGGUGUCAAGUGCUUUUUGCUUUGUUUUGUUUUGUUUUGUUUAUAACUCCCUUGAUUAUUUCAACAUGUGAACAAACUUGAAAGCCAAUGCACCAGGAAUAUUGUUCUCAAACUGUAAUGUAUGUUCUAAUCACCCAGGAAUCCUAUAAAAUGCAGAUUAUGGUUUAAUAGAUCCAGAGUGGGCCCCAGAUUCUCUGCUGCUGCUACUUUGUAGACAAAACAUUAAGUAGCAGGGCUCUAAACAUUUUCCCCCCAUGUCAGGACUGUAAGAACUCUGUAGAUAGCCACCAGCCCUUUUCUGAGCAAUGGGUACCUCAAACCCCAUUCAGUAUGAAUGAAAGCAUGUCAGUAUGCUAGGACUAGUGAAGCUUAGAAAUAUUUAGAGAAGAGGUUCACCAACAUAGGAUUCUGACAUGUUUGAAAACACCCCAUAGUAUGGUCUGAAUGUUAGUGUCCUCUGCAAAAUUAUAUGUUGAAAUAUUAUCCCUCAAGGUGAGAAUAUUAGGAUGUGGGGUCUUUGGGGAGAUGAUUGGUCAUAAGGGCUGAACUCUCAUAAAUGCAAUUGGUACAUCAACAGAAAAGGUCCAAGGGAGCUUGUUUGCCUCUUCCAUCACAUGAGGACACAGCAAGGUGUCAUCUAUGAUAAAGCAGGCCCUUCCCAGACACUGAAUCGGCUAAUGCCUUGAUCUUAGAUUUUCCAGAUUCCACAACUCUUAAGAAGUAAAUUUCUGAUAUUUGUUAGAUAUGCAGUGUAUGGUAUUUUGGUAUAGGAGUGCAAAUGGACUAAGACACUUCCCAUCCCAAUCUGAGCAGUAGAAGGACUCCUGGGACAUACACCUGGAGAUACUUAUCUUCUUCAAGGCCUUCAGGGAGUAUCAUCAUCACAUACUCAGCUCAUGUUUAAUCAACAACCAAACUUCUAGGAAGAGAAGAAAAAGGUUUAUCAUCUCUUUGUAAAACCCCAGUCUUGUAGUUUCAUAUCCUGAAUGUAUUUGGCAGAUGAAUAACCUGAGCACAGGUUGUUAUUCCACCUAGUGGGUGAUUAAACAAAUGACGAAUUCUUGGUUAUCAAAAUACUGAUAUGGCUUUGGGAUUUUGAACUGGUAAAUAUCCAUGAUGUGAAAAAUCAAGACACAUAUUGUAUAAUCUCAGUCCCAUAAAAUUGGAUGUUGUUUUAUAUACAGACAGGACCUAGAAGAACACAUAAAACUGUAAACUCUAUGUGAUUGUGGAUGACUUUGUUCUUUGCUUCUUGUGUUUUUCAGUUUUCUACAAUGCACACAUUAACUUUUAAAAAAUAAGCGUUAUUUAAAAAAUUUUUAAAAAAUGAUGAGAAAGACAUGUUUUUUUGUGUGUGAAAACAUAGGCAACAUUUAGAAAUGAGAUAUCUAGUCCCAGGAGUGAGCAUCCCAAUUUCUUCCUGAAACUGUAUUCUUAAUAAUAGCUUAAGAUACCUUUUUCCCUGCUCCAAAUAUUUAGUAGCUCUAUGAAAAAUUUAUUCUUGAAACAUGCUUUGCCCAUUUGGAUUUUAUAUUUAUUUGAAACAGUGUCCCCAGCCUUUUAAGAUUAAAAUUUAGGACAAAUACUCUGAAGUCAUCAACAAUGACUGACAUGAAAUAAAAAAGAAAUGUACCAGUUUAAGAAUGAUACUUGUUUUUCUGCAAAA